Ictalurus punctatus (channel catfish) is the source of this 590-nucleotide long non-coding RNA. The record is from Ensembl. Lineage: Eukaryota; Metazoa; Chordata; Actinopteri; Siluriformes; Ictaluridae.
UAACGCUUUCCUCCAAGUUUAUGACGCGGCAGUUUGAAAAGAUAUGCUCGAGGAGGAGGUGCAGCCAGAGUUCAUCACUUUCCUCUAUCAGCUGGUGGAGGGAGCAGCAGCUCGGAGCUAUGGGCUAAACGUGGCACGGCUAGCUGAAAUCCCCAGAGCAUCCUCACAUCUGCUGCGCUCAAGUCCAAAGAGCUGGAGGCCAUCGUCGACAGCCGCAGGAAAACUGUGAAGCUGCUCACCGACGCUUGGAAAAUCACUAACAGGGAAUCAUUACACGAGUGGAAAAAAGGCGGACAUUAAGAAGGUGUGCGUGUUUGCGUAUGAUUGUGUGUGAGGAGGUGAUGUGUGCUGAGGUAGUCCCUAUAACCCACACUUUAUUCAAAUCUACACACAAUUGAGUUUUUUUUUGUUUUUGUUUUUUUUUGUACGUUUUCCUUUUUAUGUCUGCACCUUUUUUAUGUCACGAUCACGUGAAAGUUGAGUGUCUCUUGCAGAUUCAAGGUGCUAUGUUAUAGGUACUGAGCAAAAUCUGAAAGUGUAUACAGAACUGCCGAUCGAUGUGAAUUGCUGUUGUGUGAUGAAGCAAAAUC